This 429-nucleotide ribosomal RNA is filed under the name Chloroflexota bacterium. RNAcentral describes it as "Chloroflexi bacterium partial 16S ribosomal RNA". It matches the Rfam family "Bacterial small subunit ribosomal RNA", at positions 355 to 776 of the family's 1533-position model. The record is from RNAcentral. Lineage: Bacteria; Bacillati; Chloroflexota.
UGGGGAAUAUUGCACAAUGGGCGCAAGCCUGAUGCAGCCAUGCCGCGUGUGUGAAGAAGGCCUUCGGGUUGUAACGCACUUUCAGCGGGGAGGAAGGCGGCGAGGUUAAUAACCUCACCGAUUGACGUUACCCGCAGAAGAAGCACCGGCUAACUCCGUGCUAGCAGCCGCGGUAAUACGGAGGGUGCAAGCGUUAAUCGGAAUUACUGGGCGUAAAGCGCACGCAGGCGGUCUGUCAAGUCGGAUGUGAAAUCCCCGGGCUCAACAUGGGAACUGCAUGCGAAACUGGCAGGCUAGAGGCUUGUAGAGGGGAGUAGAAUUCCAGGGGUAGCGGUGAAGUGCGUGGAGAGCUGGGGGAAUACCGGAAGGGGAGGCGGCCCCCUGGACAAAGACUGACGCUCAGGUGCGAAAGCGUGGGGAGCAAACAGG